RNAcentral lists this ribosomal RNA (355 nucleotides) under uncultured bacterium. Its description in RNAcentral is "partial 16S ribosomal RNA". It matches the Rfam family "Bacterial small subunit ribosomal RNA", at positions 338 to 710 of the family's 1533-position model. The record is from RNAcentral.
CCUACGGGUGGCAGCAGUAGGGAAUAUUGCGCAAUGGGGGAAAGCCUGAAGCAGCAACGCCGCGUGGAGGAUGAAGGUUUUCGGAUUGUAAACUCCUUUUGAUAGAGAAGAGAAUGACGGUAUCUAAGUAAUAAGAACCAGCUCACUCCGUGCCAGCCGCCGCGGUAAUACGGAGGGUGCAAGCGUUACUCGGAAGCACUGGGCGUAAAGGGCGCGUAGCCGGGAUGGCAAGUCAGAUGUGAAAUCCUCUGGCUCAACCAUAGAACUGCAUGUGAAACUGUUGUUCUAGAGUAUGGGAGAGGUAGGUGGAAUUCUUGGUGUAGCGGUCAAAUCCGUAGAGAUCAAGAGGAAUACU